Erinaceus europaeus (western European hedgehog) is the source of this 293-nucleotide unclassified non-coding RNA. Its record names the gene 7SK. It matches the Rfam family "7SK RNA". From Rfam's summary of the family: 7SK was discovered as an abundant small nuclear RNA in the mid-70s but a possible function has only recently been suggested. Lineage: Eukaryota; Metazoa; Chordata; Mammalia; Eulipotyphla; Erinaceidae. The record is from Ensembl.
GGAUGUGAGGGCCAUAGCCUAUGAUAUCUGUCAUCCCACUGAUCAGCUGAUCUAGCUGAUCAGGCUGGCUGGUCAGGUGUCCCCUUCCUCCCUCAUUGCUCCAUGUGAAUCUUUCUCAAAGCUGCACACUUGCUUGGUCAAAGGACAACCUGUAUUUGGUCAAGGGUAUAGAAAUAUCUUCAACCCCCUGCUAGAACCUCCAAACAAGCUCUUGAGUAUAGUUUGUACCAGUCUUCUUUGAGUGGCAGAGUAGGGUGACAUAGCCUCCCUUCAUUCGGUGGGGCAGUCCCUAU